UUCGAUGAAUAGUUAUGAAACAAAAAAAUACAUGAAAUAUACAUUUAGAAUAAAUGGACAAAUAAAAUAUUAUUGAACUGUGACGAUCAAUUAAAGGAAAAAAUUGUAUGUGAACAUUAAUUAAAUACAAAAAGUGUAAAAGAAAAAA
Musca vetustissima is the source of this 148-nucleotide long non-coding RNA. RefSeq lists it as uncharacterized. The transcript has 2 exons. The record is from RefSeq and is a predicted model, not a curated record. Lineage: Eukaryota; Metazoa; Arthropoda; Insecta; Diptera; Muscidae.